GCAGUCGACGAUGAUUAUCUAGCUUGCUAGAUAUGAUUAGUGGCGGACGGGUGAGUAACAUUUAGGAAUCUGCCUAGUAGUGGGGGAUAGCUCGGGGAAACUCGAAUUAAUACCGCAUACGACCUACGGGUGAAAGGGGGCGCAAGCUCUUGCUAUUAGAUGAGCCUAAAUCAGAUUAGCUAGUUGGUGGGGUAAAGGCCCACCAAGGCGACGAUCUGUAACUGGUCUGAGAGGAUGAUCAGUCACACCGGAACUGAGACACGGUCCGGACUCCUACGGGAGGCAGCAGUGGGGAAUAUUGGACAAUGGGGGCAACCCUGAUCCAGCCAUGCCGCGUGUGUGAAGAAGGCCUUUUGGUUGUAAAGCACUUUAAGCAGGGAGGAGAGGCUAAUGGUUAAUACCCAUUAGAUUAGACGUUACCUGCAGAAUAAGCACCGGCUAACUCUGUGCCAGCAGCCGCGGUAAUACAGAGGGUGCGAGCGUUAAUCGGAAUUACUGGGCGUAAAGCGAGUGUAGGUGGCUCAUUAAGUCACAUGUGAAAUCCCCGGGCUUAACCUGGGAACUGCAUGUGAUACUGGUGGUGCUAGAAUAUGUGAGAGGGAAGUAGAAUUCCANGUGUAGCGGUGAAAUGCGUAGAGAUCUGGAGGAAUACCGAUGGCGAAGGCAGCUUCCUGGCAUAAUAUUGACACUGAGAUUCGAAAGCGUGGGUAGCAAACAGGAUUAGAUACCCUGGUAGUCCACGCCGUAAACGAUGUCUACUAGCCGUUGGGGUCCUUGAGACUUUAGUGGCGCAGUUAACGCGAUAAGUAGACCGCCUGGGGGAGUACGGCCGCAAGGUUAAAACUCAAUGAAUUGACGGGGGCCCGCACAAGCGGUGGAGCAUGGUGGUUUAUUCGAUGCAACGCUGAAGACCCUUACCUGGUCUUUG
Molecule: ribosomal RNA, 928 nt
Filed under: Faucicola osloensis
Lineage: Bacteria; Pseudomonadati; Pseudomonadota; Gammaproteobacteria; Moraxellales; Moraxellaceae
Description: bacterial SSU rRNA
Rfam family: Bacterial small subunit ribosomal RNA
Source: RNAcentral